Molecule: long non-coding RNA, 426 nt
Organism: Chenopodium quinoa (quinoa)
Lineage: Eukaryota; Viridiplantae; Streptophyta; Magnoliopsida; Caryophyllales; Amaranthaceae
Exons: 2
Source: RefSeq, a predicted model, not a curated record
CGGUGGUCGACCUCCAGUUGCGGACUUCCUAAAAGGCGGUCAAUAGUUUGCCCUUUUAGAUCGUUAGGCAAAAUCUCUACUUCAGAAUGUGCCGUUGGGAUUUGCAAGGUCCCAUUUGAGCUCCUUGGGGCCUGAUAACUAAAGUUCAUGUUUGGAUGGAUAAAAAGUACCCGUCAUGUCUCUAUGUUAAAAGGACCAAAAGUCACUAGAUUAGACUGUGCAACAUAAGGGAUGGAAUAUAAAAGAUGUGUCGGGAACAGAAGAUUAAGAAGGGGACUAAAGUGGUGGUGCAGAUGAUUAAAAAAUCUCCUCCCGUUUUCAAAGUGACAGAUUAUCAGACUUUGUGUAAAACAUCAGCUAGCGUUUCGGUAUCAUUUCUAGCAAGCUAACUUCUGAUGUGUCUAUUCUACAACUUUUUGUGUGUAA